Long non-coding RNA from Panicum virgatum (switchgrass), 872 nucleotides. RefSeq lists it as uncharacterized. The record is from RefSeq and is a predicted model, not a curated record. The transcript is spliced from 2 exons. NCBI's taxonomy places the organism in Eukaryota, Viridiplantae, Streptophyta, Magnoliopsida, Poales, Poaceae.
CCAUCCAUGCAAAAAAUUUCGUAAAUAGAUUUCAUUUACUACUCCAUGUAUGUGUCAAAACAUUCGUUGUGACGUUUUUUUUUGCGUUUACGUGGUUUACAGGUAAAGAUCUAAACAGGGCCUUAAUACACUAAUAUUAGGAACCAAUAAAAUAACAAUCAUAUCCAUAUGUCUUUGUCUGUAGUGCCAGCCCACAUCCUUGAAAUGCAAUAUAUUCUUGCACAGGCGCACGGCCGCCGCACAGCGGCUGGAGAUGAGUGCCCCUCUGAUGCAAACCCUGCACGACGUCUGGGUUACCAAGGCACCUGCAUUUCCCAUGUAUGCAUGCCAACUUAUUUGGGGCCACUUCCGCUCCGGCAACAUUCAUUUCUCGGUGCCAUUCUCGCGCUACCUGCCAGAAAUUGGCCGUGUUGUGCUCUUCUAUGGUGCUGCAAAUGCAGGUAUAAAAGCAAUCAUGAAGAAAAGGAAGGACAGAGUGGCGUUCGUCACCCGUGGAUGGGCUGGAGUUUGCUGGGAAAUAUGGAUUCCAGGAGUGUGACGUGUACGUGCUGACGCUGCGCAUUGUCAAUGGGCGCUUCCAGCUGACAUCGCGCUGCAUUCAGCCCCUAGAUGUGCUAAGGCCUAAAUAUUAAUCUCUAGUAUUGAUCGGUGACUAGCUUAGUCCUUUGACCUCCUAAUGAGGAUCAUAGCAUUAUUAAAAUAUCCUUGAUGAAUUCACCAUCAUAGGAGAUAGGUGAAACCUCAUCUAGGAAAGGCAUCAGUGUUGAUUUAUUGUGUCGCUUCAUUACUACCUCCAGAAACUAGUUUGGCAUCAAUGGAUGUAAUGAACUAUAUCCUGGUCUUAUAUAUUUAACUAUUCCUUAGCAAGAAAA